GUAUAUAAUUUGGGUUUAUGGUCUAGGAUUAGGGUUUAGGGUAUAGGAUUUAGGUUUAUAGUCUAUUUUUUGGGUUUAAGGUAUAUAAUUUGGGUUUAUGGUCUAGGAUUAGGGUUUAGGGUAUAGGAUUUAGGUUUAUAGUCUAUUUUUUGGGUUUAAGGUAUAUAAUUUGGGUUUAUGGUCUAGGAUUAGGGUUUAGGGUAUAGGAUUUAGGUUUAUAGUCUAUUUUUUGGGUUUAAGGUAUAUAAUUUGGGUUUAUGGUCUAGGAUUAGGGUUUAGGGUAUAGGAUUUGGGUUUAGGAGUUUGAAUUUGGGUUUAAAAUUUAGGGUAUAGGGUUUAGAAUUUAAGAUUUAGGGUUUAGGAUUCUCUGGAAGCGUUAACGUCGUUAAAAUUAGCAUUUUUUAUUUUUUUGUACCUAUUUGUUAUUUAAUUUAAUAUUUUUUAAUUAAUAAUCUAUAGGUCAUUUUGAUUGGUACUAAAGAGUGAGGUGAAUUUAAAAGUUCACCCUAGAGGUUAACCUAACUUUUGUUAUUUAUAUUAAAAGAAAUUAUGCAUGAUGACAUUAUAAUCUUAUAUUUCUCUUUUGGAAAAUAAUGAUAAAUAGUUAUUGAGAACAAAACCACAUUUAUUCAUUGCUACCAGAUGAUGUUAUCUGGGAUCUAUAACAAAUUAUUCAGCAAGUGAAGUUUUAAUCUGUUUAGCAAAAAAAAAAAAAAAGUGAAGUUUUAAUCUGUUCACUAGAAACAUCUAAUUUGACGUCAUUAGCUUAAAGUUUCCCGCACCA
This 784-nucleotide long non-coding RNA is filed under the name Brassica napus (rape). Its description in RNAcentral is "long non-coding RNA (BNAP_LNC018797)". The record is from RNAcentral. Lineage: Eukaryota; Viridiplantae; Streptophyta; Magnoliopsida; Brassicales; Brassicaceae.